This 301-nucleotide ribosomal RNA is filed under the name uncultured bacterium. RNAcentral describes it as "partial 16S ribosomal RNA". It matches the Rfam family "Bacterial small subunit ribosomal RNA", at positions 509 to 807 of the family's 1533-position model. The record is from RNAcentral.
CAGCCGCCGCGGGAAUACGAAGGGUGCAAGCGUUAAUCGGAAUUACUGGGCGUAAAGCGUGCGUAGGUGGUGGUUUAAGUCCGUUGUGAAAGCCCUGGGCUCAACCUGGGAAUUGCAGUGGAUACUGGGUCACUAGAGUGUGGUAGAGGAUAGUGGAAUUUCCGGUGUAGCAGUGAAAUGCGUAGAGAUCGGAAGGAACAUCUGUGGCGAAGGCGACUAUCUGGGCCAACACUGACACUGAGGCACGAAAGCGUGGGGAGCAAACAGGAUUAGAUACCCCCGUAGUCCCUGUCUCUUAUAC